Molecule: ribosomal RNA, 420 nt
Filed under: uncultured bacterium
Lineage: Bacteria
Description: bacterial SSU rRNA
Rfam family: Bacterial small subunit ribosomal RNA
Source: RNAcentral
UAAGGAAUAUUGCUCAAUGGGAGAAAUCCUGAAGCAGCAACGCCGCGUGGAGGAUGAAGGGUCUAUGACUUGUAAACUCCUGUAAAGAAGGAAAAAAUUCCCAUUUGAUGGGAGAUGAUGGUACUUCUGGAGUAAGCCCCGGCUAACUACGUGCCAGCAGCCGCGGUAAUACGUAGGGGGCAAGCGUUGUCCGGAUUUACUGGGUGUAAAGGGUGCUCAGGCGGAUUUGUAAGUCAGAGGUGAAAUCUUACAGCUUAACUGUGAAACUGCCUUUGAUACUGCAAGCCUAGAGUAUGGAAGAGAGUGAUGGAAUAUCUGAUGUAGCAGUGAAAUGCGUAGAUAUCAGAUAGAACACCAAUGGCGAAGGCAGUCACUUGGUCCAUUACUGACGCUAAAGCACGAAAGCGUGGGUAGCAAACA